RNAcentral lists this ribosomal RNA (478 nucleotides) under uncultured bacterium. RNAcentral describes it as "partial 16S ribosomal RNA". It matches the Rfam family "Bacterial small subunit ribosomal RNA", at positions 28 to 523 of the family's 1533-position model. The record is from RNAcentral.
GACGAACGCUGGCGGCGUGCUUAACACAUGCAAGUCGAACGGUAAGGCCCUUCGGGGUACACGAGUGGCGAACGGGUGAGUAACACGUGGGUGAUCUGCCCUGCACUUCGGGAUAAGCCUGGGAAACUGGGUCUAAUACCGGAUAGGACUCCGGACUGCAUGGUCUGGGGUGGAAAGCUUUUGCGGUGUGGGAUGGGCCCGCGGCCUAUCAGCUUGUUGGUGGGGUGAUGGCUUACCAAGGCGACGACGGGUAGCCGGCCUGAGAGGGUGACCGGCCAGAAUGGGGAUGAGAUACGGCCGAGACUCGUACGGGAGGCGGCAGUGGGGAAUAUUGCACAAUGGGCGCAAGCCUGAUGCAGCGACGCCGCGUGAGGGAUGACGGCCUUCGGGUUGUAAACCUCUUUCAGCACAGACGAAGCGCAAGUGACGGUAUGUGCGGAAGAAGGACCGGCCAACUACGUGCCAGCAGCCGCCGUAA